Molecule: small RNA, 28 nt
Filed under: Bombyx mori (domestic silkworm)
Lineage: Eukaryota; Metazoa; Arthropoda; Insecta; Lepidoptera; Bombycidae
Description: ovarian small RNA-6453
Source: RNAcentral
UAGUAUUGUAUGGUGCUCGCCUACCAAC